AACGAACGCUGGCGGCAGGCUUAACACAUGCAAGUCGAACGGGUGUAGCAAUACAUCAGUGGCAGACGGGUGAGUAACACGUGGGAACCUUCCUAGGGGUACGGAACAACUCAGGGAAACUUGAGCUAAUACCGUAUACGUCCGUGAGGAGAAAGAUUUAUCGCCCUUAGACGGGCCCGCGUAGGACUAGCUAGUUGGUGGGGUAACGGCCUACCAAGGCGACGAUCCGUAGCUGGUCUUAGAGGAUGAUCAGCCACACUGGGACUGAGACACGGCCCAGACUCCUACGGGAGGCAGCAGUGGGGAAUCUUGGACAAUGGGCGCAAGCCUGAUCCAGCCAUGCCGCGUGAGUGAAGAAGGUCUUCGGAUUGUAAAGCUCUUUUGCCAGGGACGAUAAUGACGGUACCUGGAGAAUAAGCCCCGGCAAACUUCGUGCCAGCCGCCGCUGUAA
RNAcentral lists this ribosomal RNA (451 nucleotides) under uncultured bacterium. RNAcentral describes it as "partial 16S ribosomal RNA". It matches the Rfam family "Bacterial small subunit ribosomal RNA", at positions 29 to 523 of the family's 1533-position model. The record is from RNAcentral.